RNAcentral lists this ribosomal RNA (430 nucleotides) under Acidobacteriota bacterium. RNAcentral's name for it is "Acidobacteria bacterium partial 16S ribosomal RNA". It matches the Rfam family "Bacterial small subunit ribosomal RNA", at positions 355 to 776 of the family's 1533-position model. Lineage: Bacteria; Pseudomonadati; Acidobacteriota. The record is from RNAcentral.
UGGGGAAUAUUGGACAAUGGGCGAAAGCCUGAUCCAGCCAUGCCGCGUGUGUGAAGAAGGCCUUCUGGUUGUAAAGCACUUUAAGCGGGGAGGAGGCUGCCUGGAUUAAUACUCUAGGAUAGUGGACGCUACUCGCAGAAUAAGCAUCUCCUAACUCUGUGCCAGCAGCUGCGGUAAUACAGAGGGUGCGAGCGUUAAUUGUAUUUACUGGGCGUAAAGCGUGCGUAGGCGGCUUCUUAAGUCGGAUGUGAAAUCCCUGAGCUUAACUUUGGAAUUGCAGUCGAUACUGGGAAGCUAGAGUAUGGGAGAGGAUGGUAGAAUUCCAGGUGUAGCGGUGAAAUGCGUAGCUAUCGGGAGGAAAACCGAUGGCGAAGGCAGCAAUCUGGCCUAAUACUGACGCUGAGGUACGAAAGCAUGGGGAGCAAACAGG